UACGUAGGGUGCAAGCGUUGUCCGGAAUUAUUGGGCGUAAAGAGCUUGUAGGCGGUUUGUCGCGUCUGCUGUGAAAUUUCGGGGCUCAACCCCGAACUUGCAGUGGGUACGGGCAGACUAGAGUGUGGUAGGGGAGACUGGAAUUCCAGGUGGAGCGGUGAAAUGCGCAGAUAUCAGGAGGAACACCGGUGGCGAAGGCGGGUCUCUGGGCAACAACUGACGCUGAGGAGCGAAAGCGUGGGGAGCGAACAGG
Molecule: ribosomal RNA, 253 nt
Filed under: uncultured bacterium
Lineage: Bacteria
Description: partial 16S ribosomal RNA
Rfam family: Bacterial small subunit ribosomal RNA
Source: RNAcentral